This 253-nucleotide ribosomal RNA is filed under the name uncultured bacterium. Its description in RNAcentral is "partial 16S ribosomal RNA". It matches the Rfam family "Bacterial small subunit ribosomal RNA", at positions 524 to 776 of the family's 1533-position model. The record is from RNAcentral.
UACGUAGGUGACGAGCGUUGUCCGGAUUUAUUGGGUUUAAAGGGUGCGUAGGCGGCUUUGUAAGUCAGUGGUGAAAUACUCCAGCUUAACUGGAGGGGUGCCAUUGAUACUGCGGAGCUUGAGUACAGAUGAGGUAGGCGGAAUUGACGGUGUAGCGGUGAAAUGCAUAGAUAUCGUCAAGAACACCGAUAGCGAAGGCAGCUUACUGGGCUGUAACUGACGCUGAUGCACGAAAGUGUGGGGAUCAAACAGG